CAGUCGAGGGGCAGCGGGGAGGUAGCAGUACUUCCGCCGGCGACCGGCGCACGGGUGAGUAACACGUAUGGAACCUGCCCGUAGCAGGGGGAUAAGCGGAAGAAAUUCCGUCUAAUACCGCGUAAUAACUCCGAGAGGCAUCUCUUGGGGUUUAAAGGGUAACACCGGCUACGGAUGGCCAUGCGGCGCAUUAGCUAGUUGGCGGGGUAACGGCCCACCAAGGCGACGAUGCGUAGGGGUUCUGAGAGGAAGGUCCCCCACACUGGUACUGAGACACGGACCAGACUCCUACGGGAGGCAGCAGUGAGGAAUAUUGGUCAAUGGGCGCGAGCCUGAACCAGCCAAGUCGCGUGAGGGAAGACGGUCCUAUGGAUUGUAAACCUCUUUUGUCGGGGAGCAAAAGACGUCACGUGUGGCGUUCCGAGAGUACCCGAAGAAAAAGCAUCGGCUAACUCCGUGCCAGCAGCCGCGGUAAUACGGAGGAUGCGAGCGUUAUCCGGAUUUAUUGGGUUUAAAGGGUGCGCAGGCGGAAGAUCAAGUCAGCGGUAAAAUUGAGAGGCUCAACCUCUUCGAGCCGUUGAAACUGGUUUUCUUGAGUGAGCGAGAAGUAUGCGGAAUGCGUGGUGUAGCGGUGAAAUGCAUAGAUAUCACGCAGAACUCCGAUUGCGAAGGCAGCAUACCGGCGCUCAACUGACGCUCAUGCACGAAAGUGUGGGUAUCGAACAGGAUUAGAUACCCUGGUAGUCCACACAGUAAACGAUGAAUACUAAUUG
This 773-nucleotide ribosomal RNA is filed under the name uncultured bacterium. RNAcentral's name for it is "bacterial SSU rRNA". It matches the Rfam family "Bacterial small subunit ribosomal RNA", at positions 59 to 822 of the family's 1533-position model. The record is from RNAcentral.